This is a ribosomal RNA of Gossypium arboreum, 252 nucleotides long. It matches the Rfam family "Eukaryotic large subunit ribosomal RNA", at positions 1531 to 1785 of the family's 3401-position model. The record is from Rfam. Lineage: Eukaryota; Viridiplantae; Streptophyta; Magnoliopsida; Malvales; Malvaceae.
UGGGUUAGUCGAUCCUAUGAGACGGGGGAAGCCCGUCCGAUAGCGCGUUCAGCGCGAGCUUCGAAAGGGAAUCGAGUCAAAAUUCCUGAACUGGGACGCGGCGGCUGACGGCAACGUUAGGGAGUCAAGAUACGUCGGCGGGGGCCUCGGGAAGAGUUAUCUUUUCUGUUUAACGGCAUGCCCACCCUGGAAACGGCUCAGCUGGAGGUAGGGUCCAGCGGCCGGAAGAGCACCGCACGUCGCGUGGUGUCC